UUAAAGGCGGGGUGGGGGGGUGGGGCAGCAGGUAAAGCCUCCUCCUGCAGUGCCAGCAUCCCAUAUGGGCACCGGUUAUAAUCCCGGCUGUUCCAUUUCUGAUCCAGCUUUCUGCUAUGACCUGGGAAAGCAGUGGAAGAUGGCCCAAGUCCUUGGAACUCUGCACCCAUAUGGGUGACCCGGAAGAAGCUCCUGGCUCCUGGCUUCAGAUUGGUGCAGCUCCAGCCUCUCUCUGUUUUGGCCUGGGAAAGCAGUAGAAAAUGGACCAAGUGCUUGGGCCCUUGAACCUGCAUGGGAGACCCGGAAGAAGCUCCUGGCUCCUAGAUUCGGAUCAGCACAGCUCCAGCCGUUGUGACCAUUUGGGGAGUGAACCAGCAGAUGGAAGUCCUUUCUCUCUGUCUCUCCCUCUCUCUAUCUGUAACUCCACCUCUCAAAUAAAUGAAUAAAAUCUUUAAAAAAAA
Non-coding RNA from Oryctolagus cuniculus (rabbit), 461 nucleotides. The record is from RefSeq and is a predicted model, not a curated record. Lineage: Eukaryota; Metazoa; Chordata; Mammalia; Lagomorpha; Leporidae.